UCUCCUGAUCUACAAGACUUAUAAAAUGAGCCUCCUGUUCAAUCCAACUGAAAAUGAUGGCUGGCUAAGCAACAGGCUUUCUGGCCGUAUCAACCUCUCUCUUACAGCUCCCGCAUCAAGAAAGGUGCAGAGUGGAUUAACUUCGCAGUGUAUCCUGACAUAAUGAAGACUAACGAUUCAAAAGAAGAGGGGUUUAAAACCUGUGAGGUUUACGUAAAUCUCCAUUAAUGAUCAUAGAAUCACAGCAUGGUGGGGGUUGGGAGGGACCUUUAGAGAUCAUCCAGUCCAACCCCCCUGCCAAAGCGGCUCCCACCUAGAUCAGGUCACACAGGAACAUGACCAGCUUCAUCCCAUCACCCCUUGUCCGGGCACUGGAUACAACAGAAACAAGUGCUGCCCCAACCUCCUGACACCCACCACUGAGACAUUUGUCAAUAUUAAUAAGAUCCCCCCUCAGUCUCCUCUUCUCCAGACUGAACAGCCCCAGGUCCCACAGCCUUUCCUCACAAGGAAGAUGCUCCAGUACCCUCAGCAUCUUGGUAGCCCUGCGACACAUUCAACUAUCAGGUCUACAGGUAGAAUGAAGAGAGAUGAGGAGUUAGGGCAUGUUCAUAUGGACACUUUGGAGGAGGACAUCUCAGUGAGGGUUUCUGCAAGCUGCUGGAGCAAAAGGAUCCACAGUGAUUGUCUGAUACCUAGUAAGAGCAUUUCUGACCCUACAUUAAGAGAACUGCCUCAGAAGUGAGAACAAGAACAUCCUUCACACUGUCAACUCCAACAGACCGCUGCUGAACUUCACCCGUGAUAAUUAACACCCCAUGCUCCUCUGAAGGCCAGCGUGAUACAAGUGCCAGUAGCACAAACUGGAUGAAGAAAUCUAUCCUCAAGGUGGACGGAAAUUAUCCUAAGGACAAACACUUGGUUUCCCAGGUUUCAGUCCCUGACAGCAAGGCUUCCCCUCUUUCCUGGCACCACUUACAGAAGUAACUGAAUUGCUUUCUGAAGUAUUUACUGAGGAAGUAACUACAUCUGCACCUUACUCAAGAGUAGGAGCAGGACAGACAAUUGUGUUUGAAGGCU
Molecule: long non-coding RNA, 1080 nt
Organism: Colius striatus (speckled mousebird)
Lineage: Eukaryota; Metazoa; Chordata; Aves; Coliiformes; Coliidae
Exons: 4
Source: RefSeq, a predicted model, not a curated record